UACGUAGGGUGCGAGCGUUGUCCGGAAUUAUUGGGCGUAAAGAGCUCGUAGGCGGCCUGUCGCGUCGGUUGUGAAAGCCCGGGGCUUAACCCCGGGUCUGCAGUCGAUACGGGCAGGCUAGAGUUCGGUAGGGGAGAUCGGAAUUCCUGGUGUAGCGGUGAAAUGCGCAGAUAUCAGGAGGAACACCGGUGGCGAGGGCGGAUCUCUGGGCCGAUACUGACGCUGAGGAGCGAAAGCGUGGGGAGCGAACAGG
RNAcentral lists this ribosomal RNA (253 nucleotides) under uncultured bacterium. Its description in RNAcentral is "partial 16S ribosomal RNA". It matches the Rfam family "Bacterial small subunit ribosomal RNA", at positions 524 to 776 of the family's 1533-position model. The record is from RNAcentral.